This 446-nucleotide ribosomal RNA is filed under the name uncultured bacterium. RNAcentral's name for it is "bacterial SSU rRNA". It matches the Rfam family "Bacterial small subunit ribosomal RNA", at positions 330 to 792 of the family's 1533-position model. The record is from RNAcentral.
GCCAGACUCCUACGGGAGGCAGCAGUGGGGAAUAUUGCACAAUGGGGGAAACCCUGAUGCAGCGACGCCGCGUGAGUGAAGAAGUAUUUCGGUAUGUAAAGCUCUAUCAGCAGGAACGAGACAAGACGGUACCUGACUAAGAAGCCCCGGCUAACUACGUGCCAGCAGCCGCGGUAAUACGUAGGGGGCAAGCGUUAUCCGGAAUCACUGGGUGUAAAGGGAGCGUAGACGGCUGUGCAAGCCUGAAGUGAAAGGCGGGGGCCCAACCCCUGGACUGCUUUGGGAACUGUACGGCUGGAGUGCAGGAGAGGUAAGUGGAAUUCCUAGUGUAGCGGUGAAAUGCGUAGAUAUUAGGAGGAACACCGGUGGCGAAGGCGGCUUACUGGACUGUAACUGACGUUGAGGCUCGAAAGCGUGGGGAGCAAACAGGAUUAGAUACCCGGGUA